CGCGUAGGUGGUUGUUUAAGUCGGAUGUGAAAUCCCCGGGCUUAACCUGGGAACUGCACCCGAUACUGGGCAACUAGAGUGCGAGAGAGGGAGGUAGAAUUCCACGUGUAGCGGUGAAAUGCGUAGAUAUGUGGAGGAAUACCGGUGGCGAAGGCGGCCUCCUGGCUCGACACUGACGCUGAGGUGCGAAAGCGUGGGGAGGCAAAACA
This 209-nucleotide ribosomal RNA is filed under the name uncultured bacterium. RNAcentral's name for it is "partial 16S ribosomal RNA". It matches the Rfam family "Bacterial small subunit ribosomal RNA", at positions 568 to 776 of the family's 1533-position model. The record is from RNAcentral.